This is a non-coding RNA of Podospora conica, 84 nucleotides long. Lineage: Eukaryota; Fungi; Ascomycota; Sordariomycetes; Sordariales; Podosporaceae. The record is from the annotation of a GenBank genome assembly.
GCGUCAGUGGUUUAGUGGUAAAAUCCAUCGUUGCCAUGCAUUGCCAACUUCGAUGGGCCCCGCGUUCGAUUCGCGGCUGACGCA